Long non-coding RNA from Nycticebus coucang (slow loris), 738 nucleotides. RefSeq lists it as uncharacterized. NCBI's taxonomy places the organism in Eukaryota, Metazoa, Chordata, Mammalia, Primates, Lorisidae. The transcript has 5 exons. The record is from RefSeq and is a predicted model, not a curated record.
CUCCCUUGUUGUGGAGCCCAAAACUGAGCAAGCGCAAAGUUUUUGGCCGGGGCCAGGUUUGAACCCACCACCUCCAGUAUAUGGGAAAAUACUUUUUUAUAGCAUGAAGAAGAGACAGAUACGGAUGAGGGAAUAAUUCAUUAAGCACAGGGAAAGACUCUGGAAUUUCCUGAUGUGACCAAGGAAGCUUCUUUCUGAAAAAUGCAAUUGUUUUAAUCCCCCUCCUUAAGGAUUCAUCAAAUAAUCAGGUCAGGUAAAAGUGGUCUCUGGCAGAAGAAGUGGCUUUUUCUGCCCAAUGGAGAAAAUCUAUGCCUGUGUAUUCCAGUAAACUUCACUUGGAUCUGUGGUUUCUGAGCAUUACAAGAUGGAAAUGCAUUUCUAAACCACCAGCUGGUCAGAACUUUAUUGGACCUAAACAUGAAAAUGUAGCAACUGAAAAGGGAAGAUGAGCUAGAAAUCAUACCCGAACGUCAAAGCCUCCCCGAGAGACAAUGCCAUGAAUCCAGAGUAAGGAAAUGCAUCCUUGAAGAUCUGCACCCUACAAAUACCAUAGACAACUCUGAAGCAGUUCUGACAGUGACAUUAUGGAUGCUUUACAUGAGUUUGAGGAUCCAUUUGUAGACCAAGAACUUAGAGAUGCCAAGGGGAAGUAAAAACCACUUAAGAGAGGAAAGAGAAAAUGAUAUGUUAUUUAUUCAUGGUUUUGACUGGGACAUAAAAGCAAAAAUAAAAGGUGCU